AGUAAGUCGCGUUAAGGAUUGAAAUGGCAUCCUUUUUUACUGUCAGUUCAAGUCAAUUUGCUCUUUUGCAAAUUUGUAUCGAGAACAGAAGUAAAAAAGAUAUAAUGGAAAGCCUGUUAAAAC
This 123-nucleotide small RNA is filed under the name Polaribacter atrinae. RNAcentral's name for it is "Flavo-1 RNA". It matches the Rfam family "Flavo-1 RNA". Lineage: Bacteria; Pseudomonadati; Bacteroidota; Flavobacteriia; Flavobacteriales; Flavobacteriaceae. The record is from Rfam by way of RNAcentral.